CUGCACUGACCCCCGCGGGGAGGGGCCUGGGGCGGAGGAGGGCCCCGGCUGGCUCCCCCCCCCGCCCUCCCCUCGGGGCGCAAGUGCGUGAGGUCGGACGUGCCGGGCGGACAGUAAAUAUUUACCCAUUGCCUACUAAGGUCGAGUCUAGACCUAGCUUUGCGCGCCUUCCCCCCUCCCCCCGCCUCCACCCCCUGGCUCGCUCCUGCCCCAGGAGACGUGCCCAGCCCGACGUUUUACCGACCCGAAGCCCGCCCCUCCUGCCGGGGCCGAAGUCUAUCCGCCGACCAUCUCCAGGGCGGCGCCUCACGCGCUUUUUACUCACCUGGGAGGUCACCUGGGUGUCGGCCUCCCACGUGCCCAGCGAGAGAUUAUCCCGUCUGUGUCCCACGGAAUCGAAGCGCCACGAGGGCAGGGCGUUUGGUGUCCUGCUGCACUGCCCACGCCUGGCACGGCACUGGGCACACUAGUAGCAGGUCAAUAAUUGUCUGUUGAGUGGGUGACAUCACUGUUGAGUUAAGCAAACUUGGCUGGAAGCGUCAGAGCGCAGACUGCAGAUCCACACGCCAGAGCCGCUGCGCCGCCUGCUGGACGCAGAGGGGAGUUGCAGGCACUGCGGGACCCAGACAGGCAACAGGGAGAUGCCCAGAGACUCGGCCUGAAGACCAGCCCACCCCGUUCCCUCCCCCACCGCAGCCCCCAGCCUGCCCAGGCGGGUCUCGUCUCUGGCUUUGGGCUUCCUCUCACCGCAAACCGGUGCGCUUGUGAAGGCUCUCACCACCCCAGGCAAACAUCUGUGCUUAGUGGCGGGAGCGGUCUGAGGUGUCUGUCUGUCUGCCUGUCUGGGAAAUUCCCCUCCUGGGCCUCCCUGUGAAUUUCUGAGACAGGAUUAACCCUCUGAGGGACAGACUGUCCGCCUCUGGGGGCACUGCCCGCCGGGAGGCGCCAUUUCCAGUCUGGAACUGGCAGAGCUUCUUGAUUGCUACUCCUUUACUGAGCCCUGUGGUUGGGGUGGCAGAGCCACAGGGUCCGGGACCCUGCUAACCUGGCCCAGCCCCUGAGGGUAUCUUUAGACAGUGGGGUAGGGGUGGGAGGCUUGAGCCUCUGUGCCGUUCCCUCAAUGUCAUUUUGAAAAAUAACGUAUGUGUUUCCCACUUUA
Molecule: long non-coding RNA, 1159 nt
Organism: Myotis lucifugus (little brown bat)
Lineage: Eukaryota; Metazoa; Chordata; Mammalia; Chiroptera; Vespertilionidae
Exons: 2
Source: RefSeq, a predicted model, not a curated record